CACCACUGCCGUACGUACCCGCACUGCCACCUUUUCUCCCCACCCCAAAGCUCAUCCUCUCAAAGGCUCCCCCAGCCAUUCACGAGAUCGCGCAGCCAAUCAUUGCCACCCUCCGUCGCCGCCACUCCCUGACCUUGGUCACAUCUCGCCACCGUGGCUGCUGGAGCAGCUGGAUCAGGAGCUCCUCCUCGGCUCCAUUUUCUCACCAUCGCCCGGCUCCUUCUCCAGCUCGCCGGAGUCGAAGGCCACACAACGAGGCGGGAUCCCGUUCCUUCGGAGUUUGGAAGCAAGACGCCAAGGCCAAGAGUGCCGGGUCCUCUCCUCCUCGCCGCCACGCCGAGGACCUGGGGCCGGCCGUUCACCAUUGUGCGCCAGGUCCGCGCGGGUGCUCCCUUCCCUUGCAACCUGCGUUCUCUCCACAGGAACCGCCCAAACUCCGAUCCAGGUGAAGCUCGCUCUAGCUGUCCCGUCGACCGCGAAACCACCUCUUAUGCUCGAACACUCCAUAUAACCUCACCAUGCAGUUAGCUAGCCCAGUACAAGUGCAACAGCAGUGGAGGUUGUAGGUGUUGCCACGGGGGUGAUGGAGCCGCUCCUGUCCAAGCUCACCAAGCUGCUUGGGGAAGAGUAUGCCAAGCUCAAAGGUGUUCGCAAGCAGAUCGAGUUCUUGAGGGAUGAGCUGACCGCCAUGAGCGCUUCUUGCUCUCCGAUCAACUACUCCCUUAAGUAGUACGACUACUUCCUGAAGCUGUGCGACUAUUUUCUCAUGACACCUACGACUACUCGGUGAACCGAUCAACUGCUGCCUCAACAUACUCGGUGCCUCGAUCGACUACUUUCUGAAGCUCAUACAACUAUUUCCCGGUGAUCGUAACUCGAAAAUCACCGACGGUCGGGGCGUCCGGCGGGCAACACAGCGAGCGGAGCCGGGAGAUUAGGCUGCUGCUACCCUCCUCUCUCCUAGCGCGGCUCGUUGGUCGGCUCUUGGUGUUGCGGGCGUGCCACCUGGCUUGACCUGCAGCCAGAAAGGGGUGAGUGGUGAGGCUUUCGUCUCCUGCUUUCCCUGCAUCACACAAGAUAAAGCGUUAAGUUCCUGCCGAUCGCCCGGAUCGGCAAACUGUGAACCCGGUUGCUAUGUAUCGGCACAAUCAGCCGAUCCAGAGACGUUCAGAGGCAUAUUGGCACAUUUGCCGAUUGAAGAUGCGAUCGAUAAACAACAUGUAAAAUGCAUCUGUAAUAGAUAAAACCUACCCUAGAACAUGAUAUAAAUAAAUCUACCUAUCUAGAUAGGCUCUUGCUACGCACGA
Molecule: long non-coding RNA, 1307 nt
Organism: Panicum virgatum (switchgrass)
Lineage: Eukaryota; Viridiplantae; Streptophyta; Magnoliopsida; Poales; Poaceae
Exons: 2
Source: RefSeq, a predicted model, not a curated record